Long non-coding RNA from Microtus ochrogaster (prairie vole), 409 nucleotides. RefSeq lists it as uncharacterized. NCBI's taxonomy places the organism in Eukaryota, Metazoa, Chordata, Mammalia, Rodentia, Cricetidae. The transcript has 4 exons. The record is from RefSeq and is a predicted model, not a curated record.
GAGAGAGAGAGAGAGAGAGAGAGAGAGAGAGGCCUGCUGUGACUGGAAGACAGGAGGGAAUCUGGUACAUCUGGGAGUGGAAACUUGAUGCCCCUGGGCCAAGAUUUGUCAGGGCCACCGCCUAAGACGCCUAAAGGAGCCUGCUUGUGUGCUGUGGCCAUGUUCUUCUGUGACUGGAUCUUCUCUUCUGCCUGGAGCCUCAAUUUCGGUCCGGCUGGAUUUGGGGAACAACACUGCCUGCCGCAAGGACAUCAAAUGAGACUUCAAAGAAGCAUAGAAUGAAUAGACCAAUCAAACAAAGACCGGGGGCAGCAGUACGCCAGCAAGACAGCAUCUUCUCCCCAGCCUAGAAGUCCUGAGAAACCGAGGAUCUCCCCCUAAAACAUUCACAUACAAGAUAUGUGCAAUC